Molecule: ribosomal RNA, 304 nt
Filed under: uncultured bacterium
Lineage: Bacteria
Description: partial 16S ribosomal RNA
Rfam family: Bacterial small subunit ribosomal RNA
Source: RNAcentral
CAGCAGUAGCCACGGUAAAACGGAGGAUCCAAGCGUUAUCCGGAAUCAUUGGGUUUAAAGGGUCCGUAGGCGGUUUAGUAAGUCAGUGGUGAAAGCCCAUCGCUCAACGGUGGAACGGCCAUUGAUACUGCUGAACUUGAAUUAUUAGGAAGUAACUAGAAUAUGUAGUGUUGCGGUGAAAUGCUUAGAGAUUACAUGGAAUACCAAUUGCGAAGGCAGGUUACUACUAAUUGAUUGACGCUGAUGGACGAAAGCGUGGGGAGCGAACAGGAUUAGAUACCCCCGUAGUCCCUGUCUCUUAUAC